UACGAGAGGCUCGAGCGUUAAUCAGAAUCACUGGGCUUAAAGGGUGCGCAGGCGGGCCUGCAAGCGUUUUGUGAAAUCCCACGGCUCAACCGUGGAAUAGCGGAGCGAACUGCAGGUCUUGAGGUAGGUAGAGGUUGACGGAACGAUAGGUGGAGCGGUGGAAUGCGUAGAGAUCUAUCGGAACGCCAAAGGCGAAGGCAGUCAACUGGGCCUUACCUGACGCUCAGGCACGAAAGCGUGGGGAGCAAACAGG
Molecule: ribosomal RNA, 253 nt
Filed under: uncultured bacterium
Lineage: Bacteria
Description: partial 16S ribosomal RNA
Rfam family: Bacterial small subunit ribosomal RNA
Source: RNAcentral